AACGAACGCUGGCGGCAUGCCUAACACAUGCAAGUCGAACGAGACCUUCGUGUCUAGUGGCGCACGGGGGCGUAACGCGGGGGAACCUGCCCUUAGGUUCCGAAUAACUCCCCGAAAGGGGUGCUAAGACCGGAUAAUGUCUUCGGACCAAAGAUUUAUUGCCUUAGGAUGGGCGCGCGUUGGAUUAGCUGGUUGGUAGGGUAAAAGCCUACCAUGGCGACGAUCCAUAGCUGGUCUGAGAGGAUGAUCAGCCACACUGGGACUGAGGCACGGCCCAGACUCCUACGGGAGGCAGCAGUAGAGAAUAUUGGACGCUGGGCGAAGACCUGAUCCAGCAAUGCCGCGUGAGUGAUGAAGGCCUUAGGGUUGUAAAGCUCUUUUACCCGGGAUGAUAAUGACAGUAACGGGAGAAUAAGCACCGGCUAACUCCGUG
This 433-nucleotide ribosomal RNA is filed under the name uncultured bacterium. Its description in RNAcentral is "partial 16S ribosomal RNA". It matches the Rfam family "Bacterial small subunit ribosomal RNA", at positions 29 to 507 of the family's 1533-position model. The record is from RNAcentral.